UACGUAGGGGGCAAGCGUUGUCCGGAAUUACUGGGCGUAAAGAGCUCGUAGGCGGUUUGUCGCGUCUGCUGUGAAAUCCCAGGGCUUAACCCUGGGCCUGCAGUGGGUACGGGCAAACUAGAGUGCGGUAGGGGAGAUCGGAAUUCCUGGUGUAGCGGUGAAAUGCGCAGAUAUCAGGAGGAACACCGGUGGCGAAGGCGGAUCUCUGGGCCGUAACUGACGCUGAGGAACGAAAGCAUGGGUAGCGAACAGG
Molecule: ribosomal RNA, 253 nt
Filed under: uncultured bacterium
Lineage: Bacteria
Description: partial 16S ribosomal RNA
Rfam family: Bacterial small subunit ribosomal RNA
Source: RNAcentral